Molecule: ribosomal RNA, 240 nt
Filed under: uncultured bacterium
Lineage: Bacteria
Description: partial 16S ribosomal RNA
Rfam family: Bacterial small subunit ribosomal RNA
Source: RNAcentral
AGUGGCGGACGGGUGAGUAACGCGUGGGUAACCUGCCUUGUACAGGGGGAUAACAGUUAGAAAUGACUGCUAAUACCGCAUAAGACCACAGCACCGCAUGGUGCGGGGGUAAGAACUCCGGUGGUAUGAGAUGGACCCGCGUCUGAUUAGGUAGUUGGUGGGGUAACGGCCUACCAAGCCGACGAUCAGUAGCCGACCUGAGAGGGUGACCGGCCACAUUGGGACUGAGACACGGCCCAA